GUACAUAGCAUGUUAAAUACACCGAUUCUCGUUCGAUCAUCGAAGUUAAGCAGGGUCGGCCAUAGUCAAUAUUUCGAUGGGUGACCGGCUGGCAACACC
Non-coding RNA from Eumeta japonica, 99 nucleotides. The record is from the annotation of a GenBank genome assembly. NCBI's taxonomy places the organism in Eukaryota, Metazoa, Arthropoda, Insecta, Lepidoptera, Psychidae.